ACAGACACCUGGGGACUUAUUAAAAUGCUGGUUCAGGUGAAGUGGGUGGGAGGGUGGCCCUGAGAGUCUGCAUUUCUAAUAAGUUCCCAGGAGAUGCUGCU
This 101-nucleotide microRNA precursor is filed under the name Marmota monax (woodchuck). The record is from RNAcentral. Lineage: Eukaryota; Metazoa; Chordata; Mammalia; Rodentia; Sciuridae.